UACGAAGGGUGCAAACGUUGCUCGGAAUCAUUGGGCGUAAAGCGCACGUAGGCGGCUUCGAAAGUCGGAUGUGAAAUCCCAUGGCUCAACCAUGGACGUGCACCCGAAACUGCGAGGCUUGAGUACUGAAGAGGAUCGCGGAAUUCCCGGUGUAGAGGUGAAAUUCGUAGAUAUCGUUUGGAACGCCAAUGGUGAAAACAGGUAGCUGGGAGUGUGCCGACGCUGAGACACGAAAGCCAGGGGAGCGAACGGG
RNAcentral lists this ribosomal RNA (253 nucleotides) under uncultured bacterium. RNAcentral describes it as "partial 16S ribosomal RNA". It matches the Rfam family "Bacterial small subunit ribosomal RNA", at positions 524 to 776 of the family's 1533-position model. The record is from RNAcentral.